UCUUUUUCUCACUGUACAUGAGGCCAAAUAUCUAUUCUUCCAUUCAUUUCCAUUUAUCUUCCUUUCCAACGAAGAAUCCCUACCAAUCCUCUCUCCAUAUUUUCCCCUUUCUUCCUAAACAGAGAAAGGCAUGUGUGUUUGAGACAGCAAGCGAGCUGGAUUUUGGUGGGUCUCGAUUUUCUUGGAUACUGUCUUUUGGUUAUGUAUCCACCGAUGAGGUCGCUUCACGGUGUUUCGAAUUGGAUUCGGCGGACAGCGGUGGCUGCCAAAGGUGAAAGCGUUUCUGGUGGUGGUGAGUGGCAUGGCAGCAUUGGUGCUUCUCCGUGUUAUUGUUUAAGAUCAUGACAAUCUUUUUCUAGCCUCCGAGGUUGUUCAUUCCAUCGGAAUUUCAAUUCUUAUAUACAAGCUCAUGAAGGAGAAAACUUGAGCUGGUACUAAACUUUUUUUUUUGUUCACCUUUAUACGUUAUGACUUGUUAAAUAUCUAAACUUGCGUUUUUGGAGGAUAUAUGUUGUGACUUAUUAAAUAUCUACACUAACUUUUUUGGAGGAUAAGGAAAAAAUCUUCUCUUUAUGAACCCCAUAAUGAAGAGAAAAUUCAGUGAA
Molecule: long non-coding RNA, 605 nt
Organism: Olea europaea var. sylvestris
Lineage: Eukaryota; Viridiplantae; Streptophyta; Magnoliopsida; Lamiales; Oleaceae
Exons: 2
Source: RefSeq, a predicted model, not a curated record